GCCAGUAUGGCAUAGUGGUUUGAGUGUCGGACUAUGACUUUGGAGACUAGGGUUCGAAUCCUGCUCGGCC
Molecule: non-coding RNA, 70 nt
Organism: Phrynosoma platyrhinos (Desert horned lizard)
Lineage: Eukaryota; Metazoa; Chordata; Lepidosauria; Squamata; Phrynosomatidae
Source: the annotation of a GenBank genome assembly